AGAUAUGAGGGCGAGCUGGCUGAGACAUCUGUUGUCCCAUUGAUCACCAGGUUUGAUGUGGCUCACCUGGCUGGCUAAGUGGGUAUCCCCUUCUUCCCUCACUUUUGGUGCAUCCCUCCCAAAGCUGUACACUCAGCCGAAGGAGAUGACCUUCCCCCAUAAAGGAGGACUGUUCCUCACUCAAGGGUCUGCUUGAGUAGCUGUGCUCCCCUGUUAGAAUUGCCAAACAAGCUCUCAAGGUCCGUUUACAGAAGAAUCUAGGAUAGUCAAGCUUCCAAGACUCCAGACAUGUCCAAAUGAGAUGCUGCUGUGGCAGUCCACUUUUCUUU
Unclassified non-coding RNA from Mustela putorius furo (domestic ferret), 329 nucleotides. Its record names the gene 7SK. It matches the Rfam family "7SK RNA". Rfam says of the family: 7SK was discovered as an abundant small nuclear RNA in the mid-70s but a possible function has only recently been suggested. Two independent studies have found that 7SK RNA binds the CDK9/cyclin T complex (known as elongation factor P-TEFb). NCBI's taxonomy places the organism in Eukaryota, Metazoa, Chordata, Mammalia, Carnivora, Mustelidae. The record is from Ensembl.